This 536-nucleotide long non-coding RNA is filed under the name Homo sapiens (human). RNAcentral's name for it is "non-protein coding LINC01227:12". The record is from RNAcentral. Lineage: Eukaryota; Metazoa; Chordata; Mammalia; Primates; Hominidae.
AGUCUAGUCUGUGACCUGAGCCAUCAUGGUAGGGUGUCCAGGGUGAGGGGAGGGUGGUGUGAAUCCCCAGUAAUGCAGGUCCUUUCCAGGCCAGGCCCCUGGUCCCCAGGAGUGCGGGGAUGCCUGAGGUCUACUGCUGCCUUAUCCAGAGCUGCCAUCCCCGGCGAUGACUCAGAGUUCCUGUGGCCCCAGCAUCAUCCCUCCAUCCCUGGCUGUGAGGCAGGAGCAGAGUUGCAGACCUGAGAGGCCUUGAAUUUGUUUGAUAUAGGACUUUGCCACCAGACAAAGUGCUUUGCCUGUGAGGUCUGGCUUGGCCUGGCCUCUGAGAAAGAACAAACACAGACCUCACUGGAAGGAACCUGGAGAACGGGAGAGGAGAGGCUGCUGCUGUCUGCCCUCCCAGCAGCAGAUAUAAAGACAAUGGGCUUCUAAGUCCCCUAGAGUCCCAGCUGUGUAAUUUAAGGAAGGAGCAUGGAGAAGACAAGAACAAGGCUCUCAGAAGGAAAUGGUGUGGCUGGAGCCAUGAGAACUGGUUG